This 397-nucleotide long non-coding RNA is filed under the name Homo sapiens (human). Its description in RNAcentral is "long non-coding RNA NONHSAT247840". Lineage: Eukaryota; Metazoa; Chordata; Mammalia; Primates; Hominidae. The record is from RNAcentral.
UAUUUACAUCCUUACCUGCUGGGAAAUCAUGAAGAACGACAGCAUGAGGAGCACCACUGUCAACAGGCUUCUGAGCGUGGCUUGGAUCCUUAGGGGGAGAAAAGGGCUGUGAAUGAAGUGUGCAGGAUAGAUGGUGGAUUUAUUAUUCACUCUGAGACCAAUUUUUUUUUUCUCAUUAGAGUCCUCUUGACACAAUUACAUUAUGAGUACAUGAUGCAAACCACACAGUUGAGCCAAACAAGGGAAUUAUUAUCAAGUUGAAGAAGAAUGUGUCCUUGCUAAGGGAGGAUGAAAAUCUCAAUUAAAAUAUCCCCCAGUAUGUUUUCUUUUUGCUUUUUUAAGCUGAGAGAGUAAAACAAAAGGGAACUGUUUAUUUAUUUUGAAACAGUAUCUAUUC